GUCACCUAUCCAUGGCAAGGCAAAUCCCAGCGGUCCGAUGCUCCGCAUGAUCAAGGAGAUGAAGAAAUUAGCUAUGAUCUUCUUCCCGCUCUCCCCCAGCCUUGUUUUCCUGAAAAUUUAAAUCUUCCCCAAAUCCUCUCGGCCCUCCUUCCAUCUAUAAGUACAAGCCCCAUGACCACAUGCCGCGUGUCGGCUUCGCGUGACUUGUGACUUUGGACUUUGGCGAGGAGAGGAGAGGAGAGGAGACGAGCCUGCCAUGCUUCAUCUCGGCGGCGCCGCCGCCCAUGGCGUGGCAUGGGGAAUGAGCUUGCUGCCGCUCUAGACUGGGCCUCCGUGGUGAAGACGGCUGCAUACAUAGGGAGGAGGCUGUUUGGAGCCGCCGGCCGUUCGUCCUAGAGAAAUAAUACACGGCCGCUCGAGCCAAGCGUGGUAAGGGGCAACCUCUCAAUGCUAGCGCGGUAGGCGCAGAGCAGCUCGACCGGUUCUUGGACGACGACUUCCUCCUCUUCCUCGCCGACCGUUGAGGCGCAGCAGCUGGACCUGGAGGUGGUGGCGGCGGAGGCGGAGGUUCAACUAAUUUGACAACUUUAAACUAAUUUGACGACGCCAAAUCCAGAACGGUUGAACUUGUUGUGUAUUUAUACUAGACUUUUUUAUUUAUAAUAACUAGACUUGUCUGGAGGGCCAGGGGUAAAAACUUCUCAUAAAAAAUAAACCAUCAUUUCACGUAAUGUAUGUUGUUUUUAUUCACACAUUUUUCGAUACACUAUCUCACAAUAAUAUUUUAAACAGAACUAGCCGAAAAUUGUGUACCCAUGAUCAUGUAUGCAUAUUUGCCAAAACUAUACAUACAUUUUGUUACCUGCUUAGAUACAUUUUGCCAAACCUAUAGGAAAACAAUAAAUAAAACAUUCUUAAGCAAAUAAAUUCAUGACUACUAUAGUAUUCUAGUGCAUUUAUAUGUUUAUUUGUCCAUACCUUCUUAAGUAUCUACACAGCUUCAUAAAUAAAACAAGUAGUCACUUAGAGGAUUCUAGAGUAGAGUAUGAGCCAGUUAAGUUAAGGUAAGACUUAAUGGUGAUUAAACGAGUAAAUUCAGUUUUAAACACAGUCUCUAGAAAAUCAGUUUUGAACCAAUAUAAAGGUAGGGUGGAUCGGGCCCUAAUUUUCCAAGCCAUGAAAUAGACAAGAAAAGAUCGAAUUUUGCAGAUAACACACAAUUUUAGGAUUUUGCAUGAAUAAUACACCACCGCUCGAGCCUAGUGUGGUACGGGGCAACCUCUCAGUGCUAGCGCAGUAGGUGCAGAACAGCUUGAUGCUGCUUCGGUUAGCGCCUAGGCGUCCGACCCUGCACAACGGCAGGCCGAGUAAAGGACUUACCUCUCGAAGCUAGAGACAUAAGCUCCUGCCACUUUGGGCCAACGCAGUAAGCCCCUCUCCUUCCCGUCACUUCUUUCCCGCUAUUUCUCCUCAGCCAGUCCUAUAAAAACCCUCAUCGAUUCUUCGUGAUUUAUUAUUGUGUUAGUUGUCUAGCUUGGUAGGGGCUAUGAGUUUGCCUUGCUCGGAUCAUGCUGAUAAGCCGACAAAGAUGAAGGGUGCAAGGUUGCCCCGGGAGGGUGGAACUACGUGGUGUUGGUGUGGAAAUCAUGCCAAGAUGAUGGUGGUGAUGGAUUUUCAUCUGGGCAUGAAGCUUUUCAUGGGUGCCAACUGCCAACUAAGUAUGAUCCACCAUGUUCCAAUUUCGUCGUAUCAAAAGCCUGCAAUAUGUUUUUACUUGGAUGAUUAGUAAUCCGGGCUCUGUCAGAUCCACGAGCACACCUAAACUGACGGAUCCUAUAGUGAUGCAAGGUGGGUGAUGAUGAUGAAGAAGCAAGAACAUGAUCGAGCUCGAGAAGUAAUGAGUUGCGGUGAAUAAAAGGAAGGUGGACUUCUCAUGAUCUUGAUUGUCGGCACGUUGAACAUGGACCCGAAGGCGAAGACGUGGUAUAUGGAGGAGCAGGCCGCCAUCUUGCAAUAAAGGAGGGCAUCGACGACACCGGAAUGAUGGAAGGGUCAUCUUUCGUGGAAGAGCGGACGCCAACAGCGGAGGAUCCAUCUUCCAUUUGAUUUCCAUUCUAUUCAUGCGGUGUUGUAAUAUGUGUGACUGGACCUUGUGGCGUUUUGGCUGCCAGUACUUCAAAUUAUGGCCGACACUGUGUGUUUUCAUUUUUGUAAUUUUCUAAUUGCAAAAAAUUAAGUCAAAAAUCUAUUAGGGAUGCCGUCUUGGGGGCGUGGCUGAGGAGAGGACCGCAAACGCGGUAGGCGUUGUCGGCGC
Long non-coding RNA from Lolium perenne, 2314 nucleotides. RefSeq lists it as uncharacterized. NCBI's taxonomy places the organism in Eukaryota, Viridiplantae, Streptophyta, Magnoliopsida, Poales, Poaceae. The record is from RefSeq and is a predicted model, not a curated record.